GUGAUAGUUGAGAGAAAGAGCUGUUCUAUGGGUUCAACCAGGUGAUAGUUGAGAGAAAGAGCUGUUCUAUGGGUUCAACCAGGUGAUAGUUGAGAGAAAUAGCUGUUCUAUGGGUUCAACCAAGUGAUAGUUGAGAGAAAUAGCUGUUCUAUGGGUUCAACCAGGUGAUAGUUGAGAGAAAGAGCUGUUCUAUGGGUUCAACCAGGUGAUAGUUGAGAGAAAGAGCUGUUCUAUGGGUUCAACCAGGUGAUGUAGUGAGAGAUAGAGCUGUUCUAUGGGGUUCAACCAGGUGAUAGUUGAGAGAAAGAGCUGUUCUAUGGGGUUCAACCAGGUGAUAGUUGAGAGAAAGAGCUGUUCUAUGGGUUCAACCAGGUGAUGUAGUGAGAGAAAGAGCUGUUCUAUGGGGUUCAACCAGGUAAUAGUUGAGAGAAAUAGCUGUUCUAUGGGUUCAAUCAGGUGAUAGUUGAGAGAAAGAGCUGUUCUAUGGGUUCAACCAGGUGAUAGUUGAGAGAAAGAGCUGUUCUAUGGGUUCAACCAGGUGAUGUAGUGAGAGAAAGAGCUGUUCUAUGGGUUCAACCAGGUGAUGUAGUGAGAGAAAGAGCUGUUCUAUGGUUUCAACCAGGUGAUGUAGUGAGAGAAAGAGCUGUUCUAUGGGUUCAACCAGGUGAUGUAGUGAGAGAAAGAGCUGUUCUAUGGGUUCAACCAGGUGAUAGUUGAGAGAAAGAGCUGUUCUAUGGGUUCAACCAAGUGAUAGUUGAGAGAAAGAGCUGUUCUAUGGGUUCAACCAGGUGAUGUAGUGAGAGAAAGAGCUGUUCUAUGGGUUCAACCAGGUGAUGUAGUGAGAGAAAGAGAUGUUCAAAUGUGGACCUAGAAGGCAGAGACAAGCCAACCCCCGAUAUCAUUUGGGGGCCUUUAAGGGGGUACAUUAGGGGAGAGAUAGUCCAACCCCCGAUAUCAUUUGGGAGGCCUUUAAGGGGGUACAUUAG
This 986-nucleotide long non-coding RNA is filed under the name Salmo salar (Atlantic salmon). RNAcentral's name for it is "lncRNA (ENSSSAG00000118272.1)". Lineage: Eukaryota; Metazoa; Chordata; Actinopteri; Salmoniformes; Salmonidae. The record is from RNAcentral.